UAUCUCGUUUUAUUUCUGCUGGUUAAUCUUACAUUUAUGAUAACUUUUUAAGGUUUAAACAAUAAAUUUUAUUUCAAACAUUCAAAACAAGUUUCUUGUUUCUUGUUUUCUGUCUCCAACAUCUUCAACUAUCUAUCUGAAAAAAGAAAAAAACAAAACAACAAUUAAUCUACCCUCAAUCAGAACCAAAAUCCAUGCAUAGAUUAUAAAAUUUACAAUAAUAUAGAAACUCUCAAAUAUCUUGUUUCGAUUUUUCAAUGCCAUUUCAUCUUGAAAACUUGUUACCUAAACUACAGGAAGCCACAAUUUAAAGGGCCCCAUAAUGACCAGUGUAAAACAAUUCAGAAGAGAAAACCAACACCCACUAGACC
RNAcentral lists this long non-coding RNA (371 nucleotides) under Mytilus galloprovincialis (Mediterranean mussel). Lineage: Eukaryota; Metazoa; Mollusca; Bivalvia; Mytilida; Mytilidae. The record is from RNAcentral.